RNAcentral lists this ribosomal RNA (449 nucleotides) under uncultured bacterium. Its description in RNAcentral is "bacterial SSU rRNA". It matches the Rfam family "Bacterial small subunit ribosomal RNA", at positions 329 to 798 of the family's 1533-position model. The record is from RNAcentral.
AGCCAGACUCCUACGGGAGGCAGCAGUGGGGAAUAUUGCACAAUGGGGGAAACCCUGAUGCAGCGACGCCGCGUGAAGGAAGAAGUAUUUCGGUAUGUAAACUUCUAUCAGCAGGGAAGAAAAUGACGGUACCUGACUAAGAAGCCCCGGCUAACUACGUGCCAGCAGCCGCGGUAAUACGUAGGGGGCAAGCGUUAUCCGGAUUCACUGGGUGUAAAGGGAGCGUAGACGGCCAUGCAAGCCUGGAGUGAAAGCCCGGGGCCCAACCCCGGGACUGCUCUGGGAACUGUGCGGCUGGAGUGCGGGAGGGGCAGGCGGAAUUCCUGGUGUAGCGGUGAAAUGCGUAGAUAUCAGGAGGAACACCGGCGGCGAAGGCGGCCUGCUGGACCGCGACUGACGUUGAGGCUCGAAAGCGUGGGGAGCAAACAGGAUUAGAUACCCCAGUACAC